UACUAGUCCGAAAGGGCGUGAGU
RNAcentral lists this unclassified non-coding RNA (23 nucleotides) under Chlamydomonas reinhardtii. Its description in RNAcentral is "small RNA Cre_2245". Lineage: Eukaryota; Viridiplantae; Chlorophyta; Chlorophyceae; Chlamydomonadales; Chlamydomonadaceae. The record is from RNAcentral.